CAGUCGCCACGGGAAUACAGAGGAUGCAAGCGUUAUCCGGAAUGAUUGGGUGUAAAGCGUCUGUAGGUGGCUUUUCAAGUCCGCCGUCAAAUCCCAGGGCUCAACCCGAAGCCUGCACGAGAAACUACCGGGCUUGAGUAUUGGAGAGGUGAGUGGAAUUUCCGGUGUAGCGGUGAAAUGCGUAGAUAUCGGAAGGAACACCUGUGGCGAAAGCGGCUCACUGGACAAUAACUGACGCUGAUGCACGAAAGCUAGGGGAGCAAACAGGAUUAGAUACCCCUGUAGUCCCUGUCUCUUAUAC
RNAcentral lists this ribosomal RNA (301 nucleotides) under uncultured bacterium. RNAcentral describes it as "partial 16S ribosomal RNA". It matches the Rfam family "Bacterial small subunit ribosomal RNA", at positions 509 to 807 of the family's 1533-position model. The record is from RNAcentral.